This 468-nucleotide long non-coding RNA is filed under the name Olea europaea (common olive). Its description in RNAcentral is "long non-coding RNA (OEUR_LNC001599)". Lineage: Eukaryota; Viridiplantae; Streptophyta; Magnoliopsida; Lamiales; Oleaceae. The record is from RNAcentral.
GUUCAUCUUCAUCAUCUUCUUCAUUCAUAUAUAUUGUUCAUUCACAGAAUUACAUUUUAAUUGAUCCUUUCACUUUACCCUUUAUUUAUACCCUUCGUAAGCACAUGGCAAUCUCAGAGCGAAACUCCAAUUCUAAUUUUGUUAGACUACUUUCUAGAUGGUGAAACAAUAUCUUGAUUCUUAUAACAGAAAGAAUAAGAAAAAAAUCCCAUGAUUAAAUUUAGUCUAAUGCUAAAAAAACCCCUGUGAUUUUGCCGCAACAGCAGUGGUUGCUUUGCAUCCGUUUGUAGUCAUGGUUGCAGGGCUUCUUCUUCUUAUCCUGCUUCAUUUGUAGCCAAAGCCAACGACGACGACGACGACUUCUUCUUAGCUUGGGUUGAAUGGGGAAAUUAUGUAUUUUUUGAGUUUUGUUGCUUGGUUGAUUUGAGCUACAAGUGAUGGCACGAGAUAAUGAGAAGGAAGAAAUUG